Molecule: ribosomal RNA, 253 nt
Filed under: uncultured bacterium
Lineage: Bacteria
Description: partial 16S ribosomal RNA
Rfam family: Bacterial small subunit ribosomal RNA
Source: RNAcentral
UACGUAGGAGGCAAGCGUUGUCCGGAGUUACUGGGCGUAAAGCGCACGCAGGCGGUCGUGUCAGUCUGGGGUGACAGUUUCCGGCUUAACCGGAAAAGGACUCUGGAAACUGCACGACUUGAGGGCUUCAGCGGGAUGUGGAAUUCCAGGUGGAGUGGUGAAAUGCGUAGAUAUCGUGAGGAACACCAGAGGCGAAGGCGGCUACCUGGACAAUUGCUGACGCUCAGGCACGAAAGCGUGGGGAGCAAAAGGG